Antechinus flavipes (yellow-footed antechinus) is the source of this 4319-nucleotide long non-coding RNA. RefSeq lists it as uncharacterized. The transcript is spliced from 3 exons. NCBI's taxonomy places the organism in Eukaryota, Metazoa, Chordata, Mammalia, Dasyuromorphia, Dasyuridae. The record is from RefSeq and is a predicted model, not a curated record.
CUCUUUACUCCCUCCUUCCUUCCCUUCCUCUCCUCUUCCUUUCUUUCUUCUUUCUUUCCUUCCUUCCCCCUCUUCCUUCAUCCAUUCUAAUUUCUUUUUUCUCUUUUCCAUAUGACUCCCCCCUGCCCAUGGCACUCUGUGGCACCCAUGGAGAUGGCUGUUGGAGAUAGUCAAGAAUGACAGAGGUUAUUCACCCCAGCCCUUCAUUGAUGACAAGCUGAAGGCUUUUAUGCAGAAGAGGCCACUUUGCUUCUAUAAAAAGGCAUUCCCUGGUACCUUUAUGCAAAGAACCCAAUCAAAUACACGAAGAAGAAAUAUUCUAGAAAUCCUCUUAUUCAUUUUUGGAGAAGAUGACAGAGCUGCUAUGUAUGACACACAACCAUAUAUGAAAUGGAAAGAAGAACCUUUCCUAUAUUUUUAUAAUAUGGAAAGAAAAGAAGAAUAAAAAAGGGGGACAGUGAAGAAGAAGAAGAACAAGAAAAAGAGAAAAAGGAAGGAAGGGAAGGUGGAAGAAGACAGAAAAAGGAAGAAUUAGAAGAAGGAGGAGGAGGAGGAGGAGGAGGAAAGCAACAAUAACAACAACAAACAAACAAACAACUGGAAAUGUCUAUCAAAGGUCUCACCCCAAUGAAGUGGGAAUUGUGAAGAAGCCCUGGGACCAUCAAGACAUCAACAGCAAGUCAACUGUACAGUAUAUCUUUCCCCUUUGGCUGAGGGGGGUGGGAGUAGCUAAGGACCUACGUCUAUUUUUUUGAAGCCAAAGAAAAACCUAGAACUAGCUCUGCUGGAUUAAGACACUCCGAUGAUUUCAGUUUAGAGCUGGGAAGGAAGGCUAACAAGUAUUUCUCUGGGUCAUGUUUAAAACACCUUUUUAAUGUUUCAUUGACAAGCAAAGACCUAACUGUCUUCAUGCUGCUAAAUUACUCCACCAUACAGUGCCUUACACAGACUGAGUAUUUGAUAAAUGCUUUUAUAUGCAUUCAUCCAUCCAAAGAAAAUAGCACAUUUUAGGAAGCCCAUGAUCCAGGAUUAUCCUGAAAUUAGCUCAAAUCUAGAAAACUGUUAAGUUUUCAGUGUGAACAUUCAUUCCUUAGAAAUCAACAAACAAAUCAGGUAUUGAAUUAUUAUUUUAUUGAUCGUCUAAACUGAAGAAAGUGAUGAAGAAUGUUAAUAGUGCAAAUUAAACUUAAAAGUGUUCUGUACAUACUUUUUCUCCCCCAAGAGUUUGUUAUGCAUUUACCAACAAACCCUUUCCAUUAUCCAUCUGGGUAAUGCAUAGAUUCCAUCAAGGCACCAGAGAAUGAGAAAUAACAGCCAUGCUAAACACAGAGCCUGGCUUUUCAAGGCUGGGGAAGAUUGGCUGGGUCUUCAUGAUUUCUAUUCUGCUUUCUUGAGGCAGAAGGGCAAUCAUAUCACUCAUGAUUGCCCAUAAAUCCAGGGCUGCUGUUUCAUAAGGGUGCCAGUUCUGAGGCAUGUGUUGGUUUGUUUGCUUGCUUUUAUAGUUACUUUGCCAUCUUCCCAUUAAGGAGAUGAGCUAUGGCAGCAGCGUCCUUCCCUCCUCCAAGGCAGAUGACUGUUCACCAGAGAAUUUGGUACCAAAUGGCAGAAUGACUCACAAUGGAGGUUCUCAAAAGGUUGGGGGUCCCAGCAGGAGGAGCUCCAUCUGUAUGAAGGGAGAGGUAAACUAAGGUUUUGUCUUCUGGCGGAGGAGCAAAUUCUCAUCCUUAUACAUUUUCCUUGGUAAUUUAUCCUGUGACAAAAAAAAAAAAAAUGAAGAAAGGUUCCCUGGUUUCUAGAAGAAAGAGCAUGAAUAAAAUCUGCUUGGAGAGGGAGUGAAGAGGCCGAAUACCUGAUCCAACAGACUUUGCCAAAUAAAUUACAUCCCAUUAAAGCUGCAUUUAAAUUUUCAGUGUGAACAUUCAUUCCUUAAAAAUCAACAAACAAAUAAGGUAUUGAAUUAUUAUUUUAUUGAUCAUCUAAACUGAAGAAAGUAAUGAAGAAUAUGUUAAUAAUGCAAAUUUAACUUCCAACAGCUAUUCCAAAUAAAUUACAUUCCAUGAAAGCUGCAUUUAUUCCCUCUCCUCCCCUUAUAUUUAGAUGGCCAUUGUUUGGGCCUUAUAGGGAUAGUGUGUCUAAGGGAAUAGGGGGUUAGAUUUGAAGUUGAAAAGACCCGAGUUCAAAUCCUACCUCCAACAUUUCAUGGUUCUAAGUGACGGGCAAGUCACUUAACCUUGUCUGGGCUUCAAUUUACUUAUUGAGUAAAAUUAGGGGAUUGCACUAGAUAAUAUCUGAGGUCUUCUCCUGGUUCUAAACUCUUGAUCUUAUGAAUUUUUGAGGAAUUGUCCAGGAGAUUCCUCAUUGGUUGUUUUCUUUUUUUACCCCCCCUCCAAAAUUCCCCAAACUGUUCUGGGAAUUUGAAAAAGGCCUGAAUAAAUGACCCUGCAGCAUGAACACUGCUUCCUAAUUGGAGAGAAACAAAAGUUUUGCUCUUGCACAGCAGUUAAAUUUCUGCGGUGGGCUAUCCAGGGUCUACCCCUCUGAGUAUGGCUGCAGGUUCCCCUAAUGUGUGCUUCAAAAACUGUCAGUAAGCAUGCCAGAGAGGGUUUUGAUCCAGGAUCAGGGAGCACUGAAAGGACUGCUUUCUUUCCCUGAUGGACAAGGUUAAAACAAAACCUCCUACCGAGUCCCCUGCUUUGGGGCUUGACCCUCUGGACUCACCCAAUCUGGAAAUUCUGAAGAGUCCGAAGAAUUAAGCUCCAGGCACCCCUCCCUCCAGUACUGUAAGCAAGCUCUGACUCACUUCCCCUCCUAGAUCGGAUUUCCUCUCACAAGAGGGUUCCCGGUGCCAAGGAAUUCUUUGAAUGCCUUUGUUGUUAUCCAUUUGUUAGGUGCGCUCCUUUUCAUGCUAGCUAGCUGAGACUCCAAGCCUCGGUUGCUGCUGGCUACAGGGCCAUGACCUCAGUUUUAUAACUGGUCACCUCCACCCCCUGUCACUUUUCCUGACCCUAAAGGCAAUAAUAAUGAUAAUGGUGAUGAUAAUAACAACAAUAAUAAUAGAUUACAUUAGUCUCCUAACUCAAGUUGUUGCUUCCUAAAAGCAACAAUUCCCAAGCCUGUGUGGUUUGUUUAUCUUGAUGCUUUACACAGCGGUCAUACCUCCAUUAGCUCUUGGGGUCCUUACAGCAGCCCUGUGGAAAAGGAAGGAGAGAGAUUAAUCAUUCCCAUUUUUCAGAUGAGGAAAAUGAAACUCAGAUUUGUCACAUACAUAUUUGGCUUGGGGAUAGUAGGGUUAAGACCAGAACCCAAGUUUUUUUUUUUUUUUUUUUAAUAACCUGGUAUCCUAGAAUACAGACCAUUCAGCACAAGAUAAUUAAUAAUAAUAAUAGUGUAAGAUAGCACUCCAAGGCUUGCAAAGUACUCCACAUUUUAUCUUCUUUGAUUUUUCACAAUGGGCUAUAAUGUAAGUGCUAUUAUCAACCUCAUUUCAUAAAGGAGGAAACUGAAGCUAAAUGACUUGACCAGGAUCAUCUAAUUGAUCCCAAUUCUGUUGUUAGUGACAGGUUGCUUAAUCACUGAUUGGGGACAUCACUUUCCCCACUGAGGUAGUCUUCAGACCAUUGUCUUCCUGACUCCAAAUAAACCCUUCUAUCCAGACUGCACCACUAGCUGCCCCCAAAGACUCAGUGAUGAGGUGACCCCUGGAUCCUCUACCACUCAGUAGCCAAAAGCACAGUCAUUUCUAGAUCGAAUUCAAAUACCCAAGGGAAAUUCUAUGGUGCAACAUUGCUGAUAGGGCUGCUACAAAGUCUACUCAUGAAAAACAUCAUAUGUACAACCCAUCAGGACCCAUCAGGAAUGAAUGAAAUAUUAUCGUGCUAUAAGAAAUGAUGAGGAGGUGAAUUUCAAAAAAACCUGAAAAGAAUUACCUGAACUGAUGCUGAGUGAAGUGAGCAGAACUAGGAGAAUAUUGAACACAGUUACAGCAACAUUGUGUGAUAAUCAACUUUGAUAGACCUAGUUCUUCUCAGAAAUAUAAUGAUCUAAAAUAAUUCUAAAAGACUCAUGAUAGAAAAUGCUAUCCAUAGCCAGAGAAAGAACUAUGGUGUUUGAAUGGUUUUUCAUCUUUUUGUUAUUUGGGGCUUUUUUCUCAUGUUUCUUGCUUUUUUGUUCUGAUUAUCUUUACACAAUAUAACUUAAUGUGAAAAUAUGUUAAACUAUACAUGUUAUCACCUAUAUCAGAUUACAUGCCAUCUUGGGAAGGGGGAAAAAAAGAGUGGGAGAAAAAAAGUGGAACUCAAAAUCCUAUAAAAGUGAAUGCU